GAUGAACGCUGGCGGCGUGCCUAAUACAUGCAAGUCGAGCGAACAGACGAGGAGCUUGCUCCUCUGACGUUAGCGGCGGACGGGUGAGUAACACGUGGAUAACCUACCUAUAAGACUGGGAUCACUUCGGGAAACCGGAGCUAAUACCGGAUAAUAUAUUGAACCGCAUGGUUCAAUAGUGAAAGACGGUUUUGCUGUCACUUAUAGAUGGAUCCGCGCCGCAUUAGCUAGUUGGUAAGGUAACGGCUUACCAAGGCAACGAUGCGUAGCCGACCUGAGUGGGUGAUCGGCCACACUGGAACUGAGACACGGUCCAGACUCCUACGGGAGGCAGCAGUAGGGAAUCUUCCGCAAUGGGCGAAAGCCUGACGGAGCAACGCCGCGUGAGUGAUGAAGGUCUUCGGAUCGUAAAACUCUGUUAUUAGGGAAGAACAAAUGUGUAAGUAACUAUGCACGUCUUGACGGUACCUAAUCAGAAAGCCACGGCUAACUACGUG
RNAcentral lists this ribosomal RNA (497 nucleotides) under uncultured bacterium. RNAcentral describes it as "partial 16S ribosomal RNA". It matches the Rfam family "Bacterial small subunit ribosomal RNA", at positions 28 to 507 of the family's 1533-position model. The record is from RNAcentral.